CAGCCGCCGCGGGAAAACGAAGGGGGCUAGCGUUGUUCCGAUUUACUGGGCGUAAAGGGUGCGUAGGCGGAUUGUUAAGUCAGGGGUGAAAUCCCGAGGCUCAACCUCGGAACUGCCUUUGAUACUGGCGAUCUUGAGUCCGGGAGAGGUGAGUGGAACUGCGAGUGUAGAGGUGAAAUUCGUAGAUAUUCGCAAGAACACCGGUGGCGAAGGCGGCUCACUGGCCCGGUACUGACGCUGAGGCGCGAAAGCGUGGGGAGCAAACAGGAUUAGAUACCCUGUAGUCCCUGUCUCUUAUACA
Molecule: ribosomal RNA, 301 nt
Filed under: uncultured bacterium
Lineage: Bacteria
Description: partial 16S ribosomal RNA
Rfam family: Bacterial small subunit ribosomal RNA
Source: RNAcentral